This 253-nucleotide ribosomal RNA is filed under the name uncultured bacterium. Its description in RNAcentral is "partial 16S ribosomal RNA". It matches the Rfam family "Bacterial small subunit ribosomal RNA", at positions 524 to 776 of the family's 1533-position model. The record is from RNAcentral.
UACAGAGGUCUCAAGCGUUGUUCGGAUUCAUUGGGCGUAAAGGGUGCGUAGGUGGCGCGGUAAGUCGGGUGUGAAAUUUCGGAGCUUAACUCCGAAACUGCAUUCGAUACUGCCGUGCUUGAGGACUGGAGAGGAGACUGGAAUUUACGGUGUAGCGGUGAAAUGCGUAGAGAUCGUAAGGAAGACCAGUGGCGAAGGCGGGUCUCUGGACAGUUCCUGACACUGAGGCACGAAGGCCAGGGGAGCAAACGGG